UAUGAGGAUAUACCAGAUGAUCCAGAUGGAAUUACAGAUGUUGAAAGCAAUGAUGAUGAGCCUAAUUUUGACAAUAAUUUUGAUGACAUAUUUCAAAGAGGAAUUUUCCUGUCAGUACUACCCUAAAGAGACAAAAAAAAAAACAACAACAAAACCUGAUGAAUCACAGAAUAUGGUUGAUGUCCCUUCAACAUCAAUGACAACUAAUCAACCCACACCCUGGUUGUGAUAACAGUGAACGUUCAACAUACGACGAAUGAUCAUGUACAUGUUGUCAGCCAACAUCCUGCAAUAACCAUAACUGAUCCUAAAAAUACAAAAACUAUAAAGGGGACGAAUAAAAAAACCUCAAAUGGAAAAACUUCUACAACGACAAGAAAAGUUGUUAACAAGAAAAAAAAGGGUACAAAGAAAAUUGUUGUACAAAGAAAUUGGGAAAAUAAAGAAUUUGACACUGUAAUCCCGCCAUAUUCAGGAAGACAACCUGGACCAGUCCAAGGAGUUUUUGACAAUUGCAAAACACCUACAAGCAUCUUUGUAAAAACAAUCGAGCCCAUCCUAGACAACAUCGUUUACCAAAGUAAUUUAUAUGCAGUCCAACAAGGUAAAAUCCUAAACACAAAUAAAAAUGAGCUUCUAUCUUUCA
Long non-coding RNA from Homalodisca vitripennis (glassy-winged sharpshooter), 646 nucleotides. RefSeq lists it as uncharacterized. The record is from RefSeq and is a predicted model, not a curated record. Lineage: Eukaryota; Metazoa; Arthropoda; Insecta; Hemiptera; Cicadellidae. The transcript is spliced from 3 exons.